This 94-nucleotide transfer RNA is filed under the name Escherichia coli. Its description in RNAcentral is "tRNA-Val". It matches the Rfam family "tRNA". From Rfam's summary of the family: Transfer RNA (tRNA) molecules are approximately 80 nucleotides in length. Their secondary structure includes four short double-helical elements and three loops (D, anti-codon, and T loops). The record is from RNAcentral. Lineage: Bacteria; Pseudomonadati; Pseudomonadota; Gammaproteobacteria; Enterobacterales; Enterobacteriaceae.
GGGUGAUUAGCUCAGCUGGGAGAGCACCUCCCUUUGGGAGAGCACCUCCCUUACAAGGAGGGGGUCGGCGGUUCGAUCCCGUCAUCACCCACCA